This 474-nucleotide ribosomal RNA is filed under the name Diplommatina sp. l TB-2022. Its description in RNAcentral is "partial large subunit ribosomal RNA". The stretch from base 336 to 474 matches the Rfam family "Bacterial large subunit ribosomal RNA", at positions 2473 to 2611 of the family's 2925-position model. The record is from RNAcentral. Lineage: Eukaryota; Metazoa; Mollusca; Gastropoda; Architaenioglossa; Diplommatinidae.
GGCAGCCGCGGUAUCCUGAGGCUGUGUGAAGGUAGCAUAAUGAUUUGUAAAAAAAUUAGAGAAUGGAAUGAAUGGUUUGACUAAGGUGUAACUGUCUCUUAUAUAAUUACUAAAAAUUUAUUUUUAAGUUAAAAAGCUUAAAUUAAAUUAAAAGACGAGAAGACCCUAUUGAGCUUUGUAAUGCUUAUAUUAAUAAUUAUAUAUAAAUAAAUAGAUAGCUUUGUAAUAUAAAAUUUUUAGUUGGGAUGACUUGGGAACAAAUGAAACUUCCUAAAUAAAUAGUUAGAGAUGUCUAUAGAUCCAAAAAUUUUGAAUUUAGAACAAGCUACCAUAGGGAUAACAGCACUAUUUUUUUUGAGAGUUCUAAUCGAAAAAAAAGAUUGUGACCUCGAUGUUGGAUUAAAGUAUAAUAAAGGUUGCAAAAGCUUUUAUGAUUAGUCUGUUCGACUAUUAAAACUUUACGUGAUCUGAGUU